This 1288-nucleotide ribosomal RNA is filed under the name metagenome. RNAcentral's name for it is "bacterial SSU rRNA". It matches the Rfam family "Bacterial small subunit ribosomal RNA", at positions 242 to 1520 of the family's 1533-position model. The record is from RNAcentral.
UAGCUAGUUGGUGAGGUAAAGGCUUACCAAGGCGACGAUCUGUAGCGGGUCUGAGAGGAUGAUCCGCCACACUGGAACCGAGACACGGUCCAGACUCCUACGGGAGGCAGCAGUGGGGAAUUUUGGACAAUGGGGGCAACCCUGAUCCAGCCAUGCCGCGUGAGUGAAGAAGGCCUUCGGGUUGUAAAGCUCUUUCGGCCGGGAAGAAAUCGCAUGGGCCAAUACCCUGUGUGGAUGACGGUACCGGAAUAAGAAGCACCGGCUAACUACGUGCCAGCAGCCGCGGUAAUACGUAGGGUGCGAGCGUUAAUCGGAAUUACUGGGCGUAAAGCGUGCGCAGGCGGUUUUGUAAGACAGGCGUGAAAUCCCCGGGCUUAACCUGGGAACUGCGUUUGUGACUGCAAGGCUAGAGUACGGCAGAGGGGGGUGGAAUUCCACGUGUAGCAGUGAAAUGCGUAGAGAUGUGGAGGAACACCAAUGGCGAAGGCAGCCCCCUGGGUCGAUACUGACGCUCAUGCACGAAAGCGUGGGUAGCAAACAGGAUUAGAUACCCAGGUAGUCCACGCCCUAAACUAUGUCAACUAGGUGUUGGGUGGGUAAAACCAUUUAGUACCGUAGCUAACGCGUGAAGUUGACCGCCUGGGGAGUACGGCCGCAAGGUUAAAACUCAAAGGAAUUGACGGGGACCCGCACAAGCGGUGGACGAUGUGGAUUAAUUCGAUGCAACGCGAAAAAACCUUACCAACCCUUGACAUGCCAGGAACUUGCCAGAGAUGGCUUGGUGCCCGAAAGGGAGCCUGGACACAGGUGCUGCAUGGCUGUCGUCAGCUCGUGUCGUGAGAUGUUGGGUUAAGUCCCGCAACGAGCGCAACCCUUGUCGUUAAUUGCCAUCAUUUAGUUGGGCACUUUAACGAGACUGCCGGUGACAAACCGGAGGAAGGUGGGGAUGACGUCAAGUCCUCAUGGCCCUUAUGGGUAGGGCUUCACACGUCAUACAAUGGUCGGUACAAAGGGUUGCCAAGCCGCGAGGCGGAGCCAAUCCCAGAAAGCCGAUCGUAGUCCGGAUUGCAGGCUGCAACUCGCCUGCAUGAAGUCGGAAUCGCUAGUAAUCGUGGAUCAGCAUGUCACGGUGAAUACGUUCCCGGGUCUUGUACACACCGCCCGUCACACCAUGGGAGCGGGUUCCGCCAGAAGUAGGUAGCCUAACCGCAAGGGGGGCGCUUACCACGGCGGGGUUCGUGACUGGGGUGAAGUCGGAACAAGGUAGCCGUAGGGGAACCUGCGGCUG